GAGUUUGAUCCUGGCUCAGGACGAACGCUGGCGGCGCGCCUAACACAUGCAAGUCGAACGAGCGAGAGAGAGCUUGCUUUCUCGAGCGAGUGGCGAACGGGUGAGUAACGCGUGAGGAACCUGCCUCAAAGAGGGGGACAACAGUUGGAAACGACUGCUAAUACCGCAUAAGCCCACAGCUCGGCAUCGAGCAGAGGGAAAAGGAGUGAUCCGCUUUGAGAUGGCCUCGCGUCCGAUUAGCUGGUUGGUGAGGUAACGGCCCACCAAGGCGACGAUCGGUAGCCGGACUGAGAGGUUGAACGGCCACAUUGGGACUGAGACACGGCCCAGACUCCUACGGGAGGCAGCAGUGGGGAAUAUUGCACAAUGGGGGAAACCCUGAUGCAGCGACGCCGCGUGGAGGAAGAAGGUCUUCGGAUUGUAAACUCCUGUUGUUGAGGAAGAUAAUGACGGUACUCAACAAGGAAGUGACGGCUAACUACGUGCCAGCAGCCGCGGUAAAACGUAGGUCACAAGCGUUGUCCGGAAUUACUGGGUGUAAAGGGAGCGCAGGCGGGAAAGCAAGUUGGAAGUGAAAUCCAUGGGCUCAACCCAUGAACUGCUUUCAAAACUGUUUUUCUUGAGUAGUGCAGAGGUAGGCGGAAUUCCCGGGUGUAGCGGUGGAAUGCGUAGAUAUCGGGAGGAACACCAGUGGCGAAGGCGGCCUACUGGGCACCAACUGACGCUGAGGCUCGAAAGUGUGGGUAGCAAACAGGGUUAGAUACCCUGGUAGUCCACACUGUAAACGAUGAUUACUAGGUGUUGGAGGAUUGACCCCUUCAGUGCCGCAGUUAACACAAUAAGUAAUCCACCUGGGGAGUACGACCGCAAGGUUGAAACUCAAAGGAAUUGACGGGGGCCCGCACAAGCAGUGGAGUAUGUGGUUUAAUUCGACGCAACGCGAAGAACCUUACCAAGUCUUGACAUCCUGCGACGGUGCUGGAAACAGUACUUUCCUUCGGGACGCAGAGACAGGUGGUGCAUGGUUGUCGUCAGCUCGUGUCGUGAGAUGUUGGGUUAAGUCCCGCAACGAGCGCAACCCUUAUGGUCAGUUACUACGCAAGAGGACUCUGGCCAGACUGCCGUUGACAAAACGGAGGAAGGUGGGGAUGACGUCAAAUCAUCAUGCCCUUUAUGACUUGGGCUACACACGUACUGCAAUGGCGUUAAACAAAGAGAAGCGAGACCGCGAGGUGGAGCAAAACUCAGAAACAACGUCCCAGUUCGGACUGCAGGCUGCAACUCGCCUGCACGAAGUCGGAAUUGCUAGUAAUCGCAGAUCAGCAUGCUGCGGUGAAUACGUUCCCGGGCCUUGUACACACCGCCCGUC
Molecule: ribosomal RNA, 1369 nt
Filed under: uncultured bacterium
Lineage: Bacteria
Description: bacterial SSU rRNA
Rfam family: Bacterial small subunit ribosomal RNA
Source: RNAcentral